UACGUAGGGUGCAAGCGUUAUCCGGAAUUAUUGGGCGUAAAGAGCUCGUAGGCGGUUUGUCGCGUCUGCUGUGAAAACUGGAGGCUCAACCUCCAGCCUGCAGUGGGUACGGGCAGACUAGAGUGCGGUAGGGGAGAUUGGAAUUCCUGGUGUAGCGGUGGAAUGCGCAGAUAUCAGGAGGAACACCGGUGGCGAAGGCGGGUCUCUGGGCAGUAACUGACGCUGAGGAGCGAAAGCGUGGGGAGCGAACAGG
This 253-nucleotide ribosomal RNA is filed under the name uncultured bacterium. RNAcentral's name for it is "partial 16S ribosomal RNA". It matches the Rfam family "Bacterial small subunit ribosomal RNA", at positions 524 to 776 of the family's 1533-position model. The record is from RNAcentral.